CUCCCUGUAGCGAGAUGGAUAGCGCUUUGGACUCGAUCCAAAGGGCGUGGGUUCGUAUCCCAUCUGGGAUA
This is a non-coding RNA of Trichonephila clavipes, 71 nucleotides long. The record is from the annotation of a GenBank genome assembly. NCBI's taxonomy places the organism in Eukaryota, Metazoa, Arthropoda, Arachnida, Araneae, Nephilidae.